RNAcentral lists this non-coding RNA (205 nucleotides) under Chelonia mydas (Green sea turtle). RNAcentral describes it as "Eukaryotic large subunit ribosomal RNA". It matches the Rfam family "Eukaryotic large subunit ribosomal RNA", at positions 207 to 689 of the family's 3401-position model. Lineage: Eukaryota; Metazoa; Chordata; Testudines; Cheloniidae. The record is from Rfam by way of RNAcentral.
GGACGGUGUGAGGCGGGUAGCAGCCCCCAGCAUGCUGGGACUGGGUCUUAGAGUCCAGUUGCUUGGGAAUGCAGCCCAAAGCUGUGGUAAACUCCAUCUAAGGCUAAAUACUGGCAGGAGACCGACAGUUAACAAGAACCGUAAGGGAAAGUUGAUCCAGAAUUUAGGGACACUCAGAUCAGCAUGGGGUCAGAGGGCUGAUCCA